This 251-nucleotide unclassified non-coding RNA is filed under the name plant metagenome. RNAcentral's name for it is "partial contains small subunit ribosomal RNA, internal transcribed spacer 1, and 5.8S ribosomal RNA". The stretch from base 1 to 54 matches the Rfam family "Eukaryotic small subunit ribosomal RNA", at positions 1778 to 1831 of the family's 1831-position model. The record is from RNAcentral.
GGAAGUAAAAGUCGUAAUAAGGUCUCCGUAGGUGAACCUGCGGAGGGAUCAUUACAGAGUUCUCGCCCUCGCGGGUAGAUCUCCCACCCACUGUUAUCGUUACUGUGUUGCUUUGGCGGGCCGCCGGGCCCCGCUCGGCCGCCGGCUCCGGCUGGCGCGCGCCCGCCAGAGGCCCAGCAAACUCUGAAUGUUAGUGUCGUCUGAGUACUAUAUAAUAGUUAAAACUUUCAACAGCGGAUCUCUUGGUUCUG